This 231-nucleotide ribosomal RNA is filed under the name uncultured bacterium. RNAcentral's name for it is "partial 16S ribosomal RNA". It matches the Rfam family "Bacterial small subunit ribosomal RNA", at positions 15 to 231 of the family's 1533-position model. The record is from RNAcentral.
GAUCCUGGCUCAGGAUGAACGCUAGCUACAGGCUUAACACAUGCAAGUCGGAGGGGCAGCUAUGGUCUUAGCUUGCUAAGGCUGAUGGCGACCGGCGCACGGGUGAGUAACACGUAUCCAACCUGCCGUCUACUCUUGGCCAGCCUUCUGAAAGGAAGAUUAAUCCAGGAUGGCAUCAUGAGUUUCACAUGUCCGCAUGGAUUAAAGGUAUUUUCCGGUAGACGAUGGGGG